GCAACACAACGGACUGAGGUUACGGUCCCAGGUUGGGACCUUCAGCUUGGUUACCUGGGACUUGCAGCAUUGGUCACCACCAGGGAUGGUUACUACAACUUGAUAAGAGGUUAUGACCGGUGGUGGUGUCAGCUGUUCUGGUUGUCUGCUGCUGCUGCUGCUGUUGUUGGCUGUUAAAAAUGCUUGGGAAAGUUCUAUCUAAAAUUCCCAUUGGGAGGCGACAAGCUCAACAGAUACAGCAAUGGAUACCCUCAGCAACGUUAUUUGGAGCUGGAGCCGCAGCACUUGGUCUUUAUCUUACAGACUGGAAAGUAAUCGUCCAAUAUAUUCCUUUCUAUAGUGGCAAGUUUAAAACUGACGAGUAAUCACAAUGAUUCUUCUCCUUCCUUCAGAUGCUGUUCAUCUUCUAAGCAGCAAGAAAUUACAUUAAAUAAAAAAUGAAACGACAUUUCCAUUUAAUAAUAGUUCACAUGUACAAAGUCAUCAGUAUGUUAAUAAAAAAUAAAGAAUAAUAA
Long non-coding RNA from Cherax quadricarinatus, 515 nucleotides. RefSeq lists it as uncharacterized. Lineage: Eukaryota; Metazoa; Arthropoda; Malacostraca; Decapoda; Parastacidae. The record is from RefSeq and is a predicted model, not a curated record.